AGGCAGAUUAGUUCAAACAGAAGUUUUCAUGUCAGCAGUCAUUACACCAAAUAAGGAUGAAAAGAUAUGUCAGUUAGAGAAGUUAUAGAAUUCUUAAAUUCGUAUGCCCCCAAGUAUCCCUGCUGUGUAAUGGACAAUUACUUUACACUGAAUAGUAAAAAGGAACACCAAUCUUAGCUUAGAAAGAUUGACACCAAAUUAUAGCAUGUAACUGUAGAUACAUCAGCACUGCAUCUUCCUAUGGGUACUAAAAUUAGCAGUUGACUUUCAUCAGUUUUAAUUUCUUUUAAGUGUUUACAAAUGUAGACUUUGCACGCAUUCAAGAGUUCUACUGUUUCCAGCAAGCUGCUCCACUGACUUAUAGAAAUGCUGAUUCACUGAGAUGUUCAUUAGCUCUAAUCAAUUAGCCACUUAUCCCCAAAACAGGACAUCCAAGAGUGAAAUGCAAGUGAAUAGACACAUUUUCAACCAUUCCUAAGAGACGGAGAAUGGCAAGAGCUAAAUCGUAACACUUUGACUAUUGUUUUACAUUAGCCAGCUUUAUAUAAUACUCUCACAGAGGAUAAACACACUCUGUGCUGACUUUCACUGACUGUAUAAGUCCAAGAAUUUGUUUUAGCUGAUGCAUUUUUGACCAAAGAACCUUUCUCUUUUUUCCAAAACCUAGACUGUAUAUGCUUCUUAUUCUCCCCGUGUUCUGCCAGUCAUCUUUUGAAUUCUGAAUAUUCAAAAUAACAAUGUAGUAACAGCUCAAUUUAAAUACAAGUUGACAAAUCUACUACAUACUUUCUGAAAUUCUUGACUGUAUGCAACUGAUUCAACUAAAUAGAUAUCAUCCUGAAAUAGAUAUCCAUUUUUAAUAUCAAUUCUGCUACUAAGUAGAAGUUUUACACACUCAUUUGGCAAGUGUCUGGGGCAUCAGCUGUUGUGAUACUCCAACUCUUGUUAAAAUGUCAUGACUAAUCAUGAGGGAUAGACAUUUCCAAUAAAGAUGCAAUCAACACAGUCAAACUAAGGAAUGGGUGGAGUGAAAAACUACUGCCUGAGAUGCUCAUACCCAGCCAAGAUCUCCCACAGUGCUUGAGUUAAAAAUAUAUAUACAGUACUCCAGAAGUUCUUUCAAAUGAGUCCAGGCAAUUACUUUUAUCCUUCCCUGCAGCUUCCAAUACAUGUAUGUUGCCUCCCAAAGUCUGUAAACAUAGAUCUGUGAGAUCUCUAGAGAAGUGCCGCCCAAACAAUCCUCCCUCAAGAGCUCUGCAUUACAGAUAGUGUUACUAGUACUGGUUGAACUUCCUACAGUAUCAGAUGCUACUACAGUAAGAAAGGGAAGACUAGCACAACUCAAGGAAGAAGUAGGUAGGUUUCAUGAGCAAUUCAGCCUAAGUGAAGGCAGCAAUAAGAUACUCAGAAGGAAACAGUAUAACCACCGGUCUUCUGCUGCUCAAGAGCCACCGGCUUCUUCCAGGUAAAAAAGAGGCAUCUGAUAAGCAGCAUGAAGCCUCUUUUCCUUUGAAUGGAUAUUUUUCUUUGCAUCAGGUCUUUCAUUAUUUAGCAUUUCUUACAUGAAGGGGCAGUGAGCCUGCUUAAAAGUGGAAACAACUGUGCAAAUAAUAAGAGAGCAGCGUUAAAACAAAUGCUUACUUGAUGAUGGGAUUCUGGAUUUUGUUUGUCCUCAGGGGGUGGGUUGGGGGAGGGUGGGGGUGGAGAACAUGAUGGAGGACUAUGUAGUACUGAAAAACUUGGUAUUGUCCAGCUUCUGAGAAAAGGCCUACAUUCCUCAAGGGGAAGAUAAACAGGGAUUUUGCACAUUGUAAAGAGCAAUCUGAGUGGACUGCGAGCUCAUAUUUGUUCUUGGAAUGGCACUGUUCUG
This is a long non-coding RNA of Gallus gallus (chicken), 1870 nucleotides long. NCBI's taxonomy places the organism in Eukaryota, Metazoa, Chordata, Aves, Galliformes, Phasianidae. The record is from Ensembl.